UUGUUUGGUUAGGUGUUAAGGGAUGGAAUAACCCCUUAACCCCCAUAUUAUUUCCAAACACCUCUAAAAAUGGGUUGGGUUAGCUAACCCCAUCUAACCCGAGAUAGUCUCAACCAAAUACUAUUUUCUAUUCAUAAUAACUCACUAUUCUUCUUAUCCCACCUAUUCCAACCCACUAUCCUUUUUAUCCCACCUACUCCAACCAAACAUUAUUUUUCACUAUUCUGGACUAACUCCAACCCCCAACCAAACACAAAAAUACUUUAACCUCACCUUAACUCUGAACUUAACCAUAUCCCUGGAAUAACUAGUUUUUCCUUAACCCCGAACCAAACGGUAGCUAAAAGAUUAUGUACCCAUAUUAUCUAUACACCCAAAGAGUAAAUAUAAAUAUCAUACCUCUUUACUUAAUGACCA
Molecule: long non-coding RNA, 417 nt
Filed under: Ananas comosus (pineapple)
Lineage: Eukaryota; Viridiplantae; Streptophyta; Magnoliopsida; Poales; Bromeliaceae
Description: long non-coding RNA (ACOM_LNC033028)
Source: RNAcentral